Molecule: ribosomal RNA, 987 nt
Filed under: human gut metagenome
Description: bacterial LSU rRNA
Rfam family: Bacterial large subunit ribosomal RNA
Source: RNAcentral
ACGGUCCUAAGGUAGCGAAAUUCCUUGUCGGGUAAGUUCCGACCUGCACGAAUGGUGUAACCAUGGCCAUGCUGUCUCCACCCGAGACUCAGUGAAAUCGAAUUCGCCGUGAAGAUGCGGUGUACCCGCGGCUAGACGGAAAGACCCCGUGAACCUUUACUACAGCUUGGCACUGAACAUUGAACCUACAUGUGUAGGAUAGGUGGGAGGCUUUGAAGGCGUGACGCCAGUUGCGCUGGAGCCGUCCUUGAAAUACCACCCUUGUAUGUUUGAUGUUCUAACGCAGGGCCCUGAAUCGGGCUCGCGGACAGUGCCUGGUGGGUAGUUUGACUGGGGCGGUCUCCUCCCAAAGAGUAACGGAGGAGCACGAAGGUUGGCUAAUCCUGGUCGGACAUCAGGAGGUUAGUGCAAUGGCAUAAGCCAGCUUGACUGCGAGCGUGACGGCGCGAGCAGGUGCGAAAGCAGGUCAUAGUGAUCCGGUGGUUCUGAAUGGAAGGGCCAUCGCUCAACGGAUAAAAGGUACUCCGGGGAUAACAGGCUGAUACCGCCCAAGAGUUCAUAUCGACGGCGGUGUUUGGCACCUCGAUGUCGGCUCAUCACAUCCUGGGGCUGAAGUCGGUCCCAAGGGUAUGGCUGUUCGCCAUUUAAAGUGGUACGCGAGCUGGGUUCAGAACGUCGUGAGACAGUUCGGUCCCUAUCUGCCGUGGGCGUUGGAUGAUUGAAGGGAGUUGCUCCUAGUACGAGAGGACCGGAGUGAACGAACCUCUGGUGUUCGGGUUGUCACGCCAGUGGCACUGCCCGGUAGCUAAGUUCGGAAUCGAUAACCGCUGAAAGCAUCUAAGCGGGAAGCGAGCCCUGAGAUGAGUCAUCCCUGACCCCUUGAGGGUCCUAAAGGGCCGUUGGAGACCACAACGUUGAUAGGUGGGGUGUGUAAGCGCGGCGACGUGUUGAGCUAACCCAUACUAAUUACCCGUGAGGCUUAACCAU